GGGCGAAUAGCUCAGUUGGCAGAGCGCCAGCCUUACAAGCUGGAUGUCGUAGGUUCGACCCCUGCUUCGCCCA
This 73-nucleotide transfer RNA is filed under the name Pseudomonadota bacterium. RNAcentral's name for it is "Proteobacteria bacterium tRNA-Val". It matches the Rfam family "tRNA". From Rfam's summary of the family: Transfer RNA (tRNA) molecules are approximately 80 nucleotides in length. Their secondary structure includes four short double-helical elements and three loops (D, anti-codon, and T loops). Further hydrogen bonds mediate the characteristic L-shaped molecular structure. tRNAs have two regions of fundamental functional importance: the anti-codon, which is responsible for specific mRNA codon recognition, and the 3' end, to which the tRNAs corresponding amino acid is attached (by aminoacyl-tRNA synthetases). tRNAs cope with the degeneracy of the genetic code in two manners: having more than one tRNA (with a specific anti-codon) for a particular amino acid; and 'wobble' base-pairing, i.e. permitting non-standard base-pairing at the 3rd anti-codon position. Lineage: Bacteria; Pseudomonadati; Pseudomonadota. RNAcentral also lists the same sequence under 1 other name. The record is from RNAcentral.